This is a non-coding RNA of Irineochytrium annulatum, 72 nucleotides long. The record is from the annotation of a GenBank genome assembly. Lineage: Eukaryota; Fungi; Chytridiomycota; Chytridiomycetes; Chytridiales; Chytridiaceae.
GUCGGCCUAGUAUAGUGGUUAGUACGAGGCGUUGUGGCCGCCUAGACCCAGGUUCGAUUCCUGGGGCCGACA